UCCAAGGGACUUAAUAAUCCCUGGUUUUAUUUUUUCAUCGAAAUCCCCAUGGUCGAUUUCACACCUUGGUUACAAACGGAAAAAGAACAAUGCAAAGAGCCGAACGGUGCUCCAUGAAACAGAAGGGAGUCUAGGUCGACGAUUUCUCAUCUCUCGAGGGCAUGUCAACAUAUCUCCACGAGUAAUGAGCAAACCCUUCGUGAAUGCUAUCGUCGGCGAC
RNAcentral lists this long non-coding RNA (220 nucleotides) under Eucalyptus grandis. RNAcentral's name for it is "long non-coding RNA (EGRA_LNC005514)". Lineage: Eukaryota; Viridiplantae; Streptophyta; Magnoliopsida; Myrtales; Myrtaceae. The record is from RNAcentral.